Molecule: long non-coding RNA, 7801 nt
Organism: Falco peregrinus (peregrine falcon)
Lineage: Eukaryota; Metazoa; Chordata; Aves; Falconiformes; Falconidae
Exons: 2
Source: RefSeq, a predicted model, not a curated record
UGGGAGUUCAAAGUUGAGGCUGCCAUCUGGAUUAGGAUCUCAGCUGCACGGUUUGGGCAUGUCUCCUGCUUUUGUUAAACACUGAGACAUGUUCUUUCCCCCUGACACUCAUUCUUUCCCUCUGGUUUGUAGGUUGAAGAAUCAGGUAAUUACCACCCUGGGGUUUCCAUCCUCUGGAAAAUGCUGUGCCCUCCUACAAAAGGCAGGUCUUCCUCUUCAAACAGAAGCGCUCAUGGUAGGUGGGUUAUCUUUGCUUCUUGCUUUGUGUUUGUUUCUCUGUAAAAUGAACAUUUCUUCCAGAGCUGCUUAGGGCUAAGGGAGGUGAGUCAUAAGCCUCAUUUUACUGUGCAAGUCUUUACACGGACUUUAAUUAGGAUGAGAGACCAUUUACGCUCUGAGCUUCAUUUUCCUUAUCCCAUCAAACAACACGUUGCCAUCAAUGCUGCUAUGACCAACUAGAUUCCCAGUUUCUCCAAACUACUGUUAAACCAGAUGGAUGGUGUAGAAGGGGCAUAUCUGAGGUCCUGUUUCAUGGUGACAGCAGCAGAACAGAACCUUCAUCUCAAACAUAAGGACUGAUCCAGUUUUAUCUUUGUCUGGACAUGUCCCCUGCUGGCAGUUUCCUUGGUGCAAAGGCAGUGUAACGCCAAACUGCCACCAGGAGUAGCUGGCAGAGAUGGAGUGUGGCAGCCUCUGCUGCUCCACCUGGACAGUCAGGCUUCUUUAGCUGUACAAUGGCCUUUGAGAAAUAAAUGUCUCCGGUUUAUGAAAAUUAAGCCUCAGGUUGCUCACGGGCUCCUUGCUGGUUACUAAUCUGGCUGUCGUUUGGGUAAAGCUUGAGGGAGGACCAUCAUCUCCAGGAGCAAAAAGUCCUGCUUUGCCUCCUGGCAGGUUUGCAGUGGGAAAGGAGCGCUGGGAAACCGCAGGGAAAGGACCUGGAGCCUUAUUGCCGGGGUAGGUGAAAGCAAAGCAGGGCAUUUGGAAAAGGGUCACAAGAGAUGAGCGUACCAGCCCUGUGUGGGGAAUGUGCUGUGGGAGAUGUACCACACCAUGGUCCCGAAGCUCAGAAAAAUUUGUCCAGAUGAAUUUUUUGUCCAGAUGAAGCAGGACACAGGGACAGCAGCAUCACCCCCCUCCAUAGCUUUAUCAACAGAUUGGUGGAAAUUGAGUGAGGUGGCUACAGAGACUUUGUGUGCACAGGUACAUGUAUAUAAGACUGCUGGUCCUGGUGCUACACUCCUGCUUUUAAAACACUGUACAGCUGCUCAGACAAUAACAUUUGAGUGAUUUCAUCAGAUCUUUUCCCUUUUGAAAGCAAAUGAUUUAAAAAUCAUAAAAUGUAUUUGACAUUCUUGAUUGCAUCCCAAAUCACUGAGCUAAUGAGUUAAGAGUCUGAACAACAGCUCAAGGAAACCAAAUGAAACGGUGUAUUAUUUACAGAUGACAACUGCCCAGAAAAUGGAAUGGGCACCAAGGAGCGAGAUGGAAAAAAUCCGAUCCUCCUCAUUAAACUGCUCACUCUUUAACAACAGAUGGUAUGUUUGUGGGUGUUUGCCAUUAAGAAAGUCAGGGCCCUGGACCAAAGGGAAAAUAUAAGCCACAUUUAACUAUUUGCAUAUGUUGACUUCUGGAAUCAUUUCCAAUCAGAUAUAAUGUUAGACAUCAUACACUGACCCCUCGGUUUUGUUUGCCUGUGCUCUUUCAUUUGUUUGUCAUUGUUUGUCCUGUGACCCAGCAUGACAGCAAAAUGUUCAGUAUUGUUUUACUGUAAAUGGCAAACAAGCUCGGACAACUACUUAAAAGAAAGGAGAACUGCAGCUCAUGGAAGAUUUUCUAUAGCAGAGACAUUUUAAUAGAGGCAGGAGGGAGCCUUUAUUAUGUCUGCCUCUAUUCAAAUAAAUAGUAAUUUAUUUGCCCAUAUGUUAUGCCAAUUUGCAUCACUCAGAAUUUAUUUUAAUGUGUUGCCUGCCUGUCUGCUUCAGACUGAUGGAGGGUUUUUUUAAACCUCAACUAAAAUUUUCUAAGAAUGAUGCUAAGGAAAAAUAGGUUGUUUUGCCAUUCUGAAAACUCCUGCCUAUGCAAAUCUCUUGUGUGUGUACCAUCCAGAUCAUUGAUACCUGUACUCACAUAUAUAUAUGCAUCUCUGUGUGUGCAGGCAUGCACGCAUGUGUGUGUGUGUGUAUAUAUGUAUAAUUCAGUUGUGGUUAUUUUUCUUCCUACCUCAUUCAAAUGACUGAGACUUGGAGAACGUGUUAGUGUUAUGGAAGGAGGAGAAAAAUGACUUUAUGCUUAAAGCAGCCAUCCUCAGCCCUGGAGAGCUGGAUUUGAAUUCUGCUUUUACGUGGAGUUCCCACAUGAUGCCAGCCAUGGGAUGUAGGAUGCUUUUCCCAGCUGGUUGUCAAAACACAUCUACACUGCGGACUGCUGUUCUAAACCUUCAUGGCAGCUUCUGUGCUCUCCUAGGAGUACCUCAGCAGGCCAGCACGGUGCUGCCUGGCACCUCCAUCCAGCAGCACCCCAGGUCUUCUGCCCCCAGGUCCUGCUCUGCAGACAUGCAGCACCAAGGUCAGAGAGAAAUUGCAUUUUGUAACUGGAUUUUCAAUCAGAUUGACCAAAGUCAGAUUACAUCUGAACCCAUGCUCUAAUCACUAGGCUGUUUGAUUUAAGCAUGUAUGCCAAAAUGGAUUUCCCCCCUGCCUCUGUCAGUACACUGUCUUAUCUAUGCAUUAGGAAUUUCUUCUGUAUGUUUUCUGCUGAGCUGUUUGAUUCUUCUGACUAUGCUACAAUAGACUGAAAUUGGUCUCGGAUGCAGUGAGACAUAUUCCCCCUUCCACUCCAUGGAGAUAAUUUUGCUGAGCUCUCUCUGCCAAGCAUCACAGCCUGGACCCCACCAAUGGUAUUAGAGAUGCUAAUGGGCAAAAAUUAUGUCCCCGGUUAUUUUGGUGAGGUUGCGUUAGUACAAUUUACUCCAGAGUUUGGCUUAUGUACCUCAUGCUGUCACCACCAAAACACAUUCUUUAAUAUUAGAUGAAUCCCAAAGGUGUUCCUGAAAGAAUAAAAAAAAUCAGCCAUGUAAUGUCUUUACUGGAAGCAGCAAAAUUAUUUCCAUUACAAUAUAGUAUUGAAUCUCUCUCCUAUUCCACUGUGAAGCAAUGGGAAAAUGAUCUCAUAAGCAGGAUUUUGCUAAGGUUUUUUGAAACGUUUUUUGAAACAGCUUCACAGCCUUACCCCUGUCGCUGUCAAACUGGCAUACUGUAUACCUUGAAACGCCGUGCACUGCACAGCCAUAAAUCCCACAUGGAUUUAUCCAGCAGGCUUAGCGUCAUUAGCCCCUGUCAUAGACAGGCAGCAGUGCUGAAUGAGCACAUAACUUGACAGAGGUCAUACAAGGUAGCAGAGACCUUGCAAGAGAGCGCAGGUUUCGCAACAGCCGCCCGUUUUCUGAGCACUGCUGGAUGAGCAGCCGGGGUGCAAUGCCCUCUCGCUAUCAUUUCCUUCUGCCUUCCACCAUUUCCAUCAAGAAUGCAUCUGUGCACCAGCAAAAACCUUUAUCAGGCAUUUUGUUGUCUGGUUUCUGACCCAAACCAAGCUACCUGUCAUUCUUCAGAGUCGUCGCCUAAUCUCAGUGGGGUUGGUUUUAAUAUCAUUGUAAUUGUGUUAACGUGUUUGCUGAGCAAGCGCUCGUAGCCUGUGCUGACCGCUUGGAAUUCAAAAUUAGCACCGUAAUUGCAUUUCACAGGCUACCGGUCGAUGGGAAAUUUCACCUCAUUUGUGGAUUUGCAUGUUCUGAAAUAGGUCGGAGAUGCAGAUGGCUUUGAAAGAAGAAAAAAAAAUGAAAAGGGUUGGAGUCAGGCUCCUAUUUUGCUGAUUAGAUUAAGCGCCUUCUGACGGGGUGAGUGCUCACAUCCAGUUCGGUGGUUCACUAGUGCUGAGUGAAUCAUCAAGAGUGUCUCUGGAAUUUUCCUGGCGGGUGUUUCCUGGGUAGCUUCCAGAAGCGUUCAUGCACAGUGCAGCGGGAUGCGCGGGUUUGUUAUUCUCUGCAGCUCCAUCAGGGAGCUGGAAGAGAGCAGCAGAUGAGCCUGACAUCGGUGGAGUCUGAGGGCAGAGGAAAAACAGUUUUCCAUUACCAUGAUGCUGAAGUUGUAAUUAAAUAUAGGUGUUGCCAACUGCAAGAUCUGUUAGAUAACUGAGCAAACAUCUCUGGGGAAGCGACCUUGGCCUGCGGCAAUUUUCUCACUUCUGUGGACAGGAGGAAAGCUACCAAGGUCCCUAGUCAAGCCUUUCUUUGCUUAUCAUUUCAAUCCCAGCAAUUAAGGGCAGUCUCAGUAAGUUAAAGUCCCUCAAGGAACAUGAAGAGGAGCCCACCCUGUUCCUCCAGUGUGUCAGCAUGUUUUGAGGCCUAUUUUCCCACAUAUUACGGUGGGGUGAAAGACAAAUAAAAGCACUGCAGGGACACACAACCUACUUCUGCGAGCGCUUUUGUGCUGUGUGCUGUAUGGGUUUGCCUUUUUCUGGCUUUCUGUUUUCUCUUUUACUUGCCUGCCUUCCUACACACCCACAAACACUGGAUUUAUCUCUCAGUUUAGUAACAUCAACAAAAAAGAACCGAGUUGCUUUAAUGACCAGCUAUGUUGUUGGAGGAAGCCACCUUGCAUGCAGCGCCUCCCGCCCGGUGAAGAGGCAGCACCGUAUGGAAACCUGCCACAAUGCUGCUUGAUGCCACCUCCCCACUACGAAAUGUGUUCAGAACUGUCGCAUGGCCACGGUAUCGCUGCAGACACGGCUGCACACCAGCCACGGGUAUCUGGAGACAACUCCUGAUACGCAGAGGCAAGACGUUUCCAUAUGGGCUGAAGGAGAACCUGCUGGCCACUGGCUGAACAUGAGCCAUGCUUAUUAGGUGGCUGACCACGGAGUUCAGAGCUACCACAUGAAAUCCACCAUCUAAGCUGAAAUGGAUCCGAAUGCAGCGCGUGAAGAUCUCUGCCCAUCGAUAGCACCUCUGACACACCUAAGCUCAGCCAAAAGCCAGAGGGUUUGGUGUGUGCUGGUUUAUCUGUGCUCUGAUUUUAUGCUAAGCAUUGCAAAAAUCAAGAACUGAUUGUUUAUUUAUAAUUAAAGUGGUUUGGUUUUUUUUCCCCAGCAACGAAUUUCUUAAAGACAUUCAAAUCGAGUGUACAUUGAGAUGGAAAUGGAGGAUUAUUUUCAUAAAUACAUCAAUAAUCCUUGUUAGUGGCAGCCUGGUGGCUUGCCUUGUCUGACAAUCUGCUCACAGUGUAUGUUUUCUUGUUUUGUUAUUUUGAUUCCCAUUUGAUUUAUAUAUAGAAAAAAAAGUGUAUCAAUGAACAAAGAACAUAUCCGUGUCAAAUGAUUAAACCAUGAGGUUGAUAUGAACUGCAAAACAAUAAGUUGCUUUGAGUAAUUCAUCGUAUCAUCAGCCUUGAAGAAUGGAUAAAAACAUCAUACAAAAUUCACAACAAAAGUUAUCUAGGAAAAAUGUGACAUAAUGCUGUCAGCAAAGCCAUGUAGAGAAAAACUAAAAGGAGAGGGAAAAAAGGAAAUUAAAAAGCAAAGUUGAUGCUGCCUCUCAGGUUCUUCUGCCCUCGUAAUUGUUUCCAACGGACUGUGACUACAUUGUUCUUAAGUUUUUCAAGCUCAAUUCUUCCAUGGAGCAGAAAAGCAAAUAAGACUAUAAUAAUUAUUCAUGCUGUACAGGUAUUCCACUGUGUUUAAUGUUGUAGCUAAAGCAGAUCAGAAAAAUUAUAGCUAUGUUUUUGCCCAUUUCUUGGAGUCAGUUUUUGAUGGAAAGGAUUCCAGCUCAGUGGUUUUUGGACAGAGGCCAGCUAGGUUUUGGUCUGCCGUCAUACCUACAGAGCCAGCCUGCAGCAGGCAACCCGACAGAGCCCCAGCAUCCCAACCCCUUGUGGGUGAUUGUCACCCCAUGAGAGUGGAAUGAGACCUGAAGGUUUGAAGUCAUAUUUACAUUCAUGUGAGAACAAACAGAAGAGCUUGAAAAUGAGAUUACCCUGAAAGAUACCUGGAUGCUUUGACUGUAUUAAAAAGUCAUCACUGGCAGCCCUUAUAAUACAUUUCCUUGAGAAACCAACAAGAGCUGGAAGAAGAAAGAUAAUCCUCAUUUGCAGAGAUUUGCUAUUUUAAGGCUUUGUGCAGUCUGGAAUGACUCUAUACCCAUGGCAGAGCCUGCUGGUGCAGUCAUCCAGACUUUUGCUACAGGACCAGAGGUCUGGCUCAAAACUCAUGCUAGUCUCAUACAGACCAGUUAUAAUUGGUUUCUUUAAGUGGUGAAUCAAAAGCAGCUCAACACGGUGCUAUCAUACCUCUAGCUGUCAGCUGCAGAAACUAGCUCACCUCGACCCCUUGGCCCGAUGUGUCACCAGUGUGCCCGAUGUGCCUUCUCAGUGCUGUCUGUGUUCAGAGUAACGACAAGCAGACAGAGUAUGGAGAAGCUCUGAUGCAUGAAGCACAGAGCAAUCAUAAAGCACACAAUGGCAACUCACACAGCAAAUAAAUCCCCCGGCCUCCUGCUGAAGAGUUAAGGAAACACUGAGGGUCUGAAGCAGACCCAGCAGAGUGCUCAGCUCAUGAGAACUCUGGUCUCAUAAAAUAUUUGGGGAAUGGAGCGUGUGCAAGAGACAGGACAAUAAAUAUCACUGCUUUUCCAAGAGAAAUCCAAUGCUUAACACAGGCAAAGUAACAGCAAAUAGGAUCUGCUUACACAGCCUACUCCCCAAAACUGGAGCUAUCCUUCCUUGCACUGCAAAACAUUUGGGUGAAGAAGUGGCAACGUCAGGGUUUAUUGAGGGAUAUGAGAAGGCAGGGACACAGAUACACACCAUCACUCCUGCCACGUACCAGCGUUCAAGCCACAUCAAACUCUUCAUCCCCCAGAGUUCAGCCCGGGCAAGGUUGGCAUCAGUGGUGCACGCCAGCGUAGCCACGGCUGGGCAGCCCUCGCUCUUCCGUAGCAUCAUUUCUAGGGCACCCAGCCCAGAUUUUACAGACCUCCCUGCACAGCAAGUAACAGUGCUAACUGCUAAUUUAUUUAUAACAAAUUCCUCAUUUAUUUUUGGUUUUCAAAUGCUAUAGAGAAAGAGGGAAUCAGUCAGCAAGACUGACACACAGCAAAUACCUCCAGGGAAGACAGUGAUCUGUGCCAUUGCUAUUGACUUCAUUUGUCUGACUUGAUUUGACAGUCCAGACUGCUUUUCUCCCUUCUGCGUUUUGCACAAGAUGCAUCUAGAGCUUGAAUUCAUCUGGUUUCAUGCAGGGUGCCAUCUGAUCAUCCCCAGGCAUGUGGUUUGAAGCUCUCUGACGGAUGGGUAUAGGUCCAGAUCCUUAUAUCCUCAUUGGAAAGCUGGGGCAUGUUUGAUGCCUGUCUGGAGUAGAGCUUUUGGUGCAGUUUCUUUCAAAGGAAGCCUACUUCCCAUGUGCCAAGCAAUUUUGUGUUCCUGAAGUGGGAAUGACCAGGGGGUUCAUUUCAACACUACAUUACUGUACCAAAUAAAAAUGCAGCUGUAGAUGGAACAACAGAUAAGGCAUUUCAUGUUACUAACCAUACAUACUGACCAUGUGAUCACAUUGUUCAACCUCAUCUAUCUGAAAGAAAAGCAAAUAACAAAAAAGGACUCAGAUUAAGGACUAUGCUCUUUGGAGAUGUCUUUAUUUCCCCCUGAUGACAUCUGUGACAUGGGUGAUUUGGAAAUAUUGUGGAGAAGCCUGAAGGAAUAAAGACUAAAAAAAGCAUGAAAAUUACUUUAGUAAUAAAGCAUUCAAGAAUCUC